Molecule: long non-coding RNA, 676 nt
Organism: Cyprinus carpio (common carp)
Lineage: Eukaryota; Metazoa; Chordata; Actinopteri; Cypriniformes; Cyprinidae
Exons: 3
Source: RefSeq, a predicted model, not a curated record
UGAUGUUUAUGAUGUGUGUGCAUGUAGCCUUAGAAAAAUAGCAGCUCUGGAAAGGAGUAGAGUCAGGGCUUUGUCUCAUGACAAUGAAGGGGUUAACAUGUUUCAUGCCCAUCCCACAUAAACAUUGGUGGAGCCCAACAGCCAAGGGCCAAUGAUGACCACCACGCUAUUAACCUCACUGAACACUCUCACACACAGGAGAUCAUGUCUCUACAAUGACAGAUGAGUCUCUCCUUAACAGGUCUCCAAACGGAUCAACAAGUUUCAUCUUCAAUCAAGGAUAAGAGACCAAGAUUCUGACAAAUGGAAGAAUAUUGUCUGUGACGGAUGAAUAGCUGGUGGAAGCAACGACAUCUGAAUAACAACAGCUUUAACACAACACAGCAGUAAUGGCUCCAAACAUCACUUCUCUGCACCUCAAUUAGACCACCAUGUGCUGAAGAGAAACAGGAGCUCUCUGGUGAGCUGAAAUUCUGGAAAAGGUCAAAGGUCUUGGGUUAAGCAUGGUGUCAGUGGAGGUCUCCGUGGCUUUUGUGUUGUGCUGUGUGCUGAUGAAAGCCAGAGCUCUGAUUGAUUCUGAUGAUGUCAUCACCAGAGAUGAACAGAUCUUUCUUCUGAUUGAUGCACGGGCGAGGUGUGAGAGAAGCAUCCGUUCACAGUUAGAUGGUGUCAGAGG